UAGCUCUGUUGGUUAGAGGGUGGUGCUGAUAACACCAAGGCGGUGGGUUCGAUCCCCAU
RNAcentral lists this transfer RNA (59 nucleotides) under Apaloderma vittatum (bar-tailed trogon). The record is from Rfam by way of RNAcentral. Lineage: Eukaryota; Metazoa; Chordata; Aves; Trogoniformes; Trogonidae.